Molecule: ribosomal RNA, 937 nt
Filed under: uncultured bacterium
Lineage: Bacteria
Description: bacterial SSU rRNA
Rfam family: Bacterial small subunit ribosomal RNA
Source: RNAcentral
AGAGUUUGAUCAUGGCUCAGAAUCAACGCUGGCGGCGCGCUUAACACAUGCAAGUCGCACGAGAAAGUGGAGCAAUCCAUGAGUACAGUGGCGUACGGGUGAGUAACACGUGGAUCAUCUGCCUCUUGGUGGGGAAUAACCCUGGGAAACCGGGGCUAAUACCGCAUAAGCCUGCGAAGGGAAAGCAGCAAUGCGCCGAGAGAGGAGUCCGCGGCCGAUUAGCUAGUUGGUAGGGUAAUGGCCUACCAAGGCAAUGAUCGGUAGCCGGCCUGAGAGGGCACACGGCCACACUGGCACUGAAACACGGGCCAGACUCCUACGGGAGGCAGCAGUGGGGAAUCUUGCACAAUGGGGGCAACCCUGAUGCAGCGACGCCGCGUGAGCGAUGAAGCCCUUCGGGGUGUAAAGCUCUUUCGGCAGGAACGAUAAUGACGGUACCUGAAGAAGAAGCUGCGGCUAACUACGUGCCAGCAGCCGCGGUAAUACGUAGGCAGCAAGCGUUGUUCGGAGUUACUGGGCGUAAAGAGUGUGUAGGCGGUUCUCUAAGUUCCGUGUGAAAUCUCCCGGCUCAACUGGGAGGGUGCGCGGAAAACUGGAGGGCUUGAGUAUGGGAGAGGAAAGCGGAAUUCCUGGUGUAGCGGUGAAAUGCGUAGAUAUCAGGAGGAACACCUGCGGUGUAGACAGCUUUCUGGACCAUCACUGACGCUGAGACACGAAAGCGUGGGUAGCAAACAGGAUUAGAUACCCUGGUAGUCCACGCCCUAAACGAUGCAUACUUGGUGUGAGCCGUUCAUUCGGUUCGUGCCGGAGCUAACGCGUUAAGUAUGCCGCCUGGGGAGUACGGUCGCAAGGCUGAACUCAAAGGAAUUGACGGGGCCCGCACAAGCGGUGGAGCAUGUGGUUUAAUUCGACGCAACGCGAAGAACCUUACCUGGGC